UAAUACAUGCAUGUCGAGCGGGAGUAGCAAUACUCUAGCGGCAAAUGGGUGAGUAACACGUGCUUAAUCUACCUUUUAGAUUGGAAUACCCAAUGGAAACAUUGGUUAAUGCCGGAUAAGUAUGAAAUCGCAUGAUUUCGUUAUGAAAGAAGCGUUUGCUUCACUAAGAGAUGAGGGUGCGGAACAUUAGCUAGUUGGUGAGGUAAUGGCCCACCAAGGCUAUGAUGUUUAGCCGGGUCGAGAGACUGAACGGCCACAUUGGGACUGAGAUACGGCCCAAACUCCUACGGGAGGCAGCAGUAGGGAAUAUUCCACAAUGAGCGAAAGCUUGAUGGAGCGACACAGCGUGCACGAUGAAGGCCCUCGGGUUGUAAAGUGCUGUUGCAAGGGAAGAAAAAGCAGUUGAGGAAAUGCAACUGAACUGACGGUACCUUGUUAGAAAGCGAUGGCUAACUAUGUGCCAGCAGCCGCGGUAAUACAUAGGUCGCAAGCGUUAUCCGGAAUUAUUGGGCGUAAAGCGUUCGUAGGCUGUUUAUUAAGUCUGGAGUCAAAUCCCAGGGCUCAACCCUGGCUCGCUUUGGAUACUGGUAAACUAGAGUUGGAUAGAGGUAAGCGGAAUUCCAUGUGAAGCGGUGAAAUGCGUAGAUAUAUGGAAGAACACCAAAGGCGAAGGCAGCUUACUGGGUCUAUACUGACGCUGAGGGACGAAAGCGUGGGGAGCAAACAGGAUUAGAUACCCUGGUAGUCCACGCCGUAAACGAUGAUCAUUAGUCGGUGGCCAAUCACUGACGCAGCUAACGCAUUAAAUGAUCCGCCUGAGUAGUAUGCUCGCAAGAGUAAAACUUAAAGGAAUUGACGGGGACCCGCACAAGCGGUGGAGCAUGUGGUUUAAUUUGAGGAUACGCGGAGAACCUUACCCACUCUUGACAUCCUUCGCAAAGCUAUAGAGAUAUAGUGGAGGUUAACGGAGUGACAGAUGGUGCAUGGUUGUCGUCAGCUCGUGUCGUGAGAUGUUUGGUCAAGUCCUGCAACGAGCGCAACCCCUAUCUUUAGUUACUAACGAGUCAUGUCGAGGACUCUAGAGAUACUGCCUGGGUAACUGGGAGGAAGGUGGGGAUGACGUCAAAUCAUCAUGCCUCUUACGAGUGGGGCUACACACGUGCUACAAUGGUCGGUACAAAGAGAAGCAAUAUGGUGACAUGGAGCAAAUCUCAAAAAGCCGAUCUCAGUUCGGAUUGGAGUCUGCAA
Molecule: ribosomal RNA, 1248 nt
Filed under: Metamycoplasma hyosynoviae
Lineage: Bacteria; Bacillati; Mycoplasmatota; Mycoplasmoidales; Metamycoplasmataceae
Description: bacterial SSU rRNA
Rfam family: Bacterial small subunit ribosomal RNA
Source: RNAcentral